CCCUUUGGGGCCGAGAAAUUCCGCCGUGCAUGUGUAAGCGAAGCUUUUAGUGGAGCGGUGAAAGGCUCAGUAACGGGCGAUUUAUUUGUUCUCCUGUGACGGACAACAUCGGGAAACUGAUGGGAAAACGUCUAAGUUGCAGUUAAUUGAUUGUGACGUAAACGAAUUUGUGCAGGAGAGUAAGAUGCCAUCCUAUCAGUUAGUAAGUAGGGUAAGGGCCUACUUAGACGAAGACGGGUACGGGGAAUGAGGGUUUGAUUCCGGAGAGGGAGCCUGAA
Molecule: ribosomal RNA, 278 nt
Filed under: Dictyocoela duebenum (nom. nud.)
Lineage: Eukaryota; Fungi; Microsporidia
Description: Dictyocoela duebenum partial small subunit ribosomal RNA
Rfam family: Microsporidia small subunit ribosomal RNA
Source: RNAcentral